UACGAGAGGCCCAAACGUUAUUCGGAUUUACUGGGCUUAAAGAGUUCGUAGGCGGCUUGGAAAGUGGGGUGUGAAAGCCCUCGGCUUAACCGAGGAAUUGCGCUCCAAACUACCGAGCUUGAGUAGGCUAGAGGUGAGCAGAACUGAUGGGGAGCGGUGAAAUGCGUUGAUAUCAUCAGGAAUACCGGAGGCGAAGGCGGCUCACUGGGACCUAACUGACGCUGAGGAACGAAAGCUAGGGGAGCAAACGGG
This 252-nucleotide ribosomal RNA is filed under the name uncultured bacterium. RNAcentral describes it as "partial 16S ribosomal RNA". It matches the Rfam family "Bacterial small subunit ribosomal RNA", at positions 524 to 776 of the family's 1533-position model. The record is from RNAcentral.